Molecule: long non-coding RNA, 2031 nt
Organism: Dicentrarchus labrax (European seabass)
Lineage: Eukaryota; Metazoa; Chordata; Actinopteri; Moronidae
Exons: 3
Source: RefSeq, a predicted model, not a curated record
UCACGCAAGUAGCGCUCGAGUACAUUGUGUUUGACGUGAAAUUCAACCUUCACAAUAACAACUGCUCAGAUCAGACAGAUAAUGACAACAUCUAACAACUGCUGGGAGUAAUUGUGCGCCUCCUCUGAAAGCCAGGUCACAAGCUUUUCCUCCUGGCAGCGUCUCAAAGUCUUUGGGAGCUUCGAGCCUGAUGGAGUCUGACAGCUGAUCCCCCCGAUGCAAAUUCACAAAAUGACCGGGGGAGAGGUGAGGCGCUCAGGAGUGCGUUGCGUCACUGAAGAAAAGAAGAAACAAGGGAGCGUGGGAGCUCACAGCAGGUGAUCUGAGAGAGAUCAAAUCAACCUCUGCAGAUUCAUCAAGUCUUUCUCUACCUGCAGCUCCACUCACACAAAUGAAACACAGAAGCUUGUUUUAUUCGCUUCCUGCCGCCCUCAAAGCUGACAAUAACAUCCAAUAAUAAUGCAGCCGCAGCUCGAAGGUGAGCUCCGACCUGCGGACGUGAGACGCCGUUCAGCCUUUUCAUUGCUGAAUGAAUGAAGCGGGAAACACCCAACCGGCCAUUCUCCCGCACAUGACAACCAGCUGGAACAACAGUGGGAGUGACGUUCCCACACAAUUAUCAGGCUUCGUUCGCAGCUUUCUCACCAGAUUAAAACGCAUUCAUCCACAAGCAGGAGUCUGGAGUUACAGUCAGUGCUGAGUAUUCUGUGUUUAGAUGCACACAAAGUUAGGAGCGGUUGGAGUUAGUCGUUCUUUCCCCACUAAGCCACUGGGAGUCUGAGUCACAGUUUUUAUGAGUCAAAGUGAUCAACAGUGUGCAGGAUCAGUGUACCACGGUGCCCUGUCUUUCUGUCCCUACACUGUCUUCAUUAUUCAGGAGGUUUCCAACCGUGCAACCCAAGUCCUGCUGGCAGCGAGUACCUGGCCUCGUCUCUCAGCGCCUCCCUGCAGGACCUCCUGAGUCUGUGUGACGCACGCAGCCAGGUCCCUGUUUAUCAAAACCCCCAGAGCUGGAUUCAGAGCCCCCAAUAACAUCGAGAGUGUCAGAGUUCAUUCCUGAGCCUGUAAAUAGCAGUUUGACGAAACAAUCUUAACUCAAGGUCCACUUACUUGCCUUACCGAGCGCUUUCAACCACAUUCCUGAGUACACACAGUAGUAAUGAUUACGGGACCAGACCUUCAGUUCCAUGACGAGGACGAAGCCAACAACUUUGUUCACAGAAGAAGACGGCAAGGUGCGUUGAAAGCUCAGGAAGAAUCUAGUGAAGAAUUGACCUGCUGCUUGGCUUUGCGAGGCGAUACCCUCCCCUGUGGAUCUACUGGAGGAGAAACAGUGUCGUCCUGACAGCGACCCAGAGCUGAUGCACUGCUGCCUGCCUCCUCCCUUCCCCUCCAACCCGGUCUUGUGACUGUAGGGACGACAGCUGACACCACUCCUACAAAAUAAGAGCCCUGGGCUGCCGGUAAAGAGGCGGCUCUUUCAUUUUCUUAAUCUCUCUCCUUGAGUCUCAGUUCUGCAGUUUGCUUAUGUUGUCCAUGUGUUGCAGACUCUUUUCCUUUGUCUUCCUGUCUCUUAGUUUAUCAUUCUCUCUCUGUGUGUCCUAAUGUAGUUUCAGUUUCUUAUGCCAUCUUCUGAUUCUAAGCUUUUUUCCACAAGUCUCAGUCUAUUUCAGGUCAGUGUGAUGCUUCCCACUCGCCUGCUCAGGUGACAUUCACAGCUCUGUCAGCUGUCAGUGACUGCUGGUGCAUUCAAAGGCUGCUUUAACUGUUUCUUUCUCUGGUUUUUAACCUGCAUGCAGACACACGAUCUGAGGCAAACUGAGCUUAACUGCACUAAAGAUGAUGCAAUGAACACGCUGUGGAAAAACGCGAUGUCAAUUGCUACCACAGAAAUGAGUCGGCCAGUAAUCUCACCAUCGGGCCAUGUGACUGUGUGAGCAAUCAUUUGUCAAGUCCGAUGACUUUGAGCUACUUUUAAUGGAAAAUGCAAAACUUCCUGCUGUUUCACAUUAAAAGCUUUUAACCUGUGAA